GUUUUCUUGCACAUCUGCACACAUGUGAAAAGUUCUUUGCUGGUUCUCUAUUAAAAUUAAUCCACUGAUUGAUGAGUUUUGAGGAUCUUGAGGCUUGUUUGCUGAUGAAACUUUGUGUUUUCAUCGGCUUGCUCUGACUUAAAAUAAGGUAGCCUUUAAUCUCAUCUAGAGAUAAACUUUUCCUUUUUGAUCUUUAGCGAAGAGAGUUCCUAAAGGAAUCUGUAUAGAGUUGCCUUUUUCUUGUCAUCAUUUUAGAAUUUGUCUCUUCAUGGUGAAAAUCCUGUAUUUCAGUCUUUUUAAGUCAUCAUGGGAAUUCAAAUGAGGAACAGUUGUUUAAAAUUAAAUUGUGUGUGUGUGUGUUUUUUUUUUUAUGUUUCUAUGUACU
Long non-coding RNA from Populus euphratica (Euphrates poplar), 385 nucleotides. RefSeq lists it as uncharacterized. The transcript has 2 exons. The record is from RefSeq and is a predicted model, not a curated record. Lineage: Eukaryota; Viridiplantae; Streptophyta; Magnoliopsida; Malpighiales; Salicaceae.